This 399-nucleotide ribosomal RNA is filed under the name Staphylococcus aureus. RNAcentral describes it as "partial 23S ribosomal RNA". It matches the Rfam family "Bacterial large subunit ribosomal RNA", at positions 825 to 1227 of the family's 2925-position model. The record is from RNAcentral. Lineage: Bacteria; Bacillati; Bacillota; Bacilli; Caryophanales; Staphylococcaceae.
AAUUCCAAUCGAACCUGGAGAUAGCUGGUUCUCUCCGAAAUAGCUUUAGGGCUAGCCUCAAGUGAUGAUUAUUGGAGGUAGAGCACUGUUUGGACGAGGGGCCCCUCUCGGGUUACCGAAUUCAGACAAACUCCGAAUGCCAAUUAAUUUAACUUGGGAGUCAGAACAUGGGUGAUAAGGUCCGUGUUCGAAAGGGAAACAGCCCAGACCACCAGCUAAGGUCCCAAAAUAUAUGUUAAGUGGAAAAGGAUGUGGCGUUGCCCAGACAACUAGGAUGUUGGCUUAGAAGCAGCCAUCAUUUAAAGAGUGCGUAAUAGCUCACUAGUCGAGUGACACUGCGCCGAAAAUGUACCGGGGCUAAACAUAUUACCGAAGCUGUGGAUUGUCCUUUGGACAAUG